This is a long non-coding RNA of Budorcas taxicolor (takin), 557 nucleotides long. RefSeq lists it as uncharacterized. Lineage: Eukaryota; Metazoa; Chordata; Mammalia; Artiodactyla; Bovidae. The record is from RefSeq and is a predicted model, not a curated record. The transcript has 2 exons.
GUGUGGAAAGCGGCAAGUGGGUGCCUUCCGCAGGGUACAGCACAGGGUGGGCUGCCGUCAGCCUCAGCAGGCUCGGGCAGGCCUCGUGAGAAUGUAGGACGUAAGCGUUUUGGGAGGUUCGGAAAGCGGACUGCAGAGCCCCUUGCCUGCAGCUUUGGUUUGCGUCCUGGCUCCGGCCUUACUCGUGUUUCCCCCACAAGAAUGGCUUCCCUCAGUCUUUCCUGAAGUUGGUGAGGUUUGGACAUAUUAGUAGUAUUGUUAUUUUUCUUAUCAUCAUUUUGAGAGUCCACUGCGUGUAAGCAUUGGUGGUCCUGCGCAGGGGGCCAUGCAGAAAGCCUUGAGUUAGAAGCUGGAGGAAGGAGGGCUUAUAGAUGCUUGCGGAACGUCCUUAAACCAGCAUGAAAUGUUGGAGGUUGAGGUGAAAAAGACAGCUUUGAUAUCUUCAUGGAAGACUGCAUUAUUUCAUCCCUGAAUCUGGUUCAGUUCCCUUAUUGACUUAUUACUGUGUUAAAAUGCUUGUUUAGCAGUGAUUGUAAAAUAAAAGUAAUUAACAGGUA